ACCCUCUGAGCCAUGUGCAGGAUAUAAUCUCCUGGUGCGCUGUUUCCUAAGCCCGUUGGAAAAGCACAGUAUUGGGGUGGGAGUGACCCGAUUUUCCAGGUGCCGUCUGUCACCCACUUCCUUGACCAGGAAAGGGAACUCCUUGACCCCUUGCACUUCCCGAGUGAGGCAAUGCCUCGCCCUGUUUUGGCUCGCACAUGGUGCGCUGCACCCACUGUCCUGCACCCACUGUCUGGCACUCCCUAGUGAGAUGAACCCGGUACCUCAGAUGGAAAUGCAGAAAUCACCCAUCUUCUGUGUCACUCACGCUGGCAGCUGUAGACCAGAGCUGUUCCUAUUCAGCCAUCUUGGCUCCUCCCACAUUUUCUUUAUUCAAUCCACUGUUAUGGGCAUCUAGGUUGAUUCCAUGUCUUUGCUAUUGUGAAUAGUGUUGUGAUGAAUAUAUGGGUACAUAUGCCCUUUUGGUAGAAUAAUUGAUUUUCUUUUGGGUAUAUACCCAGUAACAGGAUUGCUGGGUCAAAUGGUAGUUCUCAAAGUUCUUUGAGAAAUCUCCAAACUGCUUUCCACAGUGGCUGAACUAAUUUACAUUCCCACCAGUAGCGUAUAACCAUUCCUUUUUCUCUGCAGCCAUGUCAGCAUCUGUUGUUUUCUGACUUUGUAAUAAUAGCCAUUCUGACUGGUGUGAGAUGGUAUUUCAUUGUGGUUUUGAUUUGCAUUUCUCUGAUGAUUAGUGAUGUUGUGUCUUUUUUCAUAUGCUUGUUGGCUGCUUAUAUGUCUUCUUUUGAGAAGUAUCUGUUCAUGUCUUUUGCCCAUUUUUUUAAUGGGGUUAUUUGGUUUUUGCUUGUUCAAUUGUUUAAAUUCCUUACAGAUUCUGGAUAUUCGACCUUGAUUGGAUGCAUCAUUUGUGAAUAUUUUGUAGGUUGUCUGUUUACUCUGUUGAUGGUUUCUUUUGCUGUCCAGAAGCUCUUUAAUUAGGUCCCACUUGUCAAUUUUUGUUUUUGUUGCAAUUGCUUUUGAAGACUUAGUCAUAAUUUUUUUCCCAAGACCAAUGUCUAGAAUGGUGUUUCCUAGGUUUUCUUCUAGGAUUCUUAUACUUAAGGUCUUACAUUUAAUUCUUUAAUCCAUUUGAGUCAAUUUUUGUAUAUGGUGAAAGAUAGGGGUCCAAUUUUAUUCUUCUGCCUAUGGCUUGUCAGCUAUCCCCACAUCAUUUAUUGAACAGGGAGUCCUUUCCCUAUUGCCAAUUUUUGUUGACUUUGUUGAUGGUCAGAUGGCUGUAGGUGUGCUAUCUUAUUUCUGGACUCUCUGUUCUGUACCAUUGGUCUGUGUGUCUGUUUUUGAACCAGUACCAUGCGUUUUGGUCACUGUAGCCUUAUAGUAUAGUUUGAAGUUGGGUAAUGUGAUGCCUCUAGCUUUAUUCUUUUUGCUUAGGAUUGCUUUGUCUAUUCAGGCUUUUUUUUGGUUCCAUAUGAAUUUUAGAAUAGUUUUUUUAUAAUUCUGUGAAAAAUGAUAUUGGUAGCUUGAUAAAAAUAGCACUGGAUCUAUAGAUUGCUUUGGGCAGUAUGGCCAUUUUAACAAUAUUGAUUCUUCCAAUUCAGGAACAUGGAAUAUUUUUCCAUUUGUUUUGUGUCAUCCAUGAUUUCUUCCAGCAACGUUUUUUAGUUCUCCUUGUAGAGGUCUUUGACCUCCUUGGUUAGAUGUAUUCCUAGGUAUUUUAUUUUCUUGGGAUAUUGUAAAUGGGAUUAUGUUCCUGAUUUGGCUCUCAGCUUGAAUGUUAUAGAUAUAUAGACAUUUUACUGAUUUUUGUACAUUGAUUUUGUACCCUGAAACUUUGCUAAAGUUGUUUAUCAGUUCCAGGAGCCUUUUAGUGUAGUCUUUAGGGUUUUCUAGGUGUAAGAAUCAUAUUGUAGUGAAGAGAGACGGUUUGACUUCUUCUUUUCUUAUUUGGAUGCUUUUUAUAUCUUUCUUUUGCCUGAUUGCUCUGGCAAGGACUUCCAGUACUAUGCUGAACAGGAGUGAUGAGAGUGGGCAUCCUCUUCUUGCUUUACUUCUCAAGGGAAAUGCUGCCUAGGAAUUAUUAAAAUGCACAUAGCCAUAUAAAUUAGGAGUAAUCAGUCCAUUUCUGUGUGCAUUUUGUUCCUUUACCUACUCCAUCCAUUUCUUGAGCACUGGCAUGUGCCUGCCAUAAAGCAGGGAUUAACAGAUGAGGUGGACACAGCCUCAAUACUUUCUGAAUAGUAUCUAUGGGGGUAGACACAUAAUUGAGCACUGGGAACUUUU
RNAcentral lists this long non-coding RNA (2277 nucleotides) under Homo sapiens (human). RNAcentral describes it as "HSALNT0121259". The record is from RNAcentral. Lineage: Eukaryota; Metazoa; Chordata; Mammalia; Primates; Hominidae.